UACGUAGGGGGCAAGCGUUGUCCGGAAUCAUUGGGCGUAAAGCGCGUGUAGGCGGCCAGACAAGUCCUCUGUGAAAACUCGAGGCUCAACUUCGAGCUGUCGGUGGAAACUUUCUGGCUAGAGUCCGGAAGAGGAGAAUGGAAUUCCUGGUGUAGCGGUGAAAUGCGCAGAUAUCAGGAGGAACACCCGUGGCGAAAGCGGCUCUCUGGGACGGUACUGACGCUGAGACGCGAAAGCGUGGGGAGCAAACAGG
Molecule: ribosomal RNA, 253 nt
Filed under: uncultured bacterium
Lineage: Bacteria
Description: partial 16S ribosomal RNA
Rfam family: Bacterial small subunit ribosomal RNA
Source: RNAcentral